UACGUAGGGGGCAAGCGUUGUCCGGAUUUAUUGGGCGUAAAGAGCUCGUAGGCGGUCUGUCGCGUCGGAUGUGAAAACCCAGGGCUCAACCCUGGGCCUGCAUUCGAUACGGGCAGACUAGAGUUCGGUAGGGGAGACUGGAAUUCCUGGUGUAGCGGUGAAAUGCGCAGAUAUCAGGAGGAACACCGGUGGCGAAGGCGGGUCUCUGGGCAGUAACUGACGCUGAGGAGCGAAAGCAUGGGGAGCGAACAGG
This 253-nucleotide ribosomal RNA is filed under the name uncultured bacterium. RNAcentral's name for it is "partial 16S ribosomal RNA". It matches the Rfam family "Bacterial small subunit ribosomal RNA", at positions 524 to 776 of the family's 1533-position model. The record is from RNAcentral.